UGGGGUGUAGCCAAGCGGUAAGGCAAUGGACUCUGACUCCAUCAUCCCUAGGUUCGAAUCCUAGCACCCCAGCCA
RNAcentral lists this transfer RNA (75 nucleotides) under Geobacter sp. RNAcentral's name for it is "tRNA-Gln". It matches the Rfam family "tRNA". Rfam says of the family: Transfer RNA (tRNA) molecules are approximately 80 nucleotides in length. Their secondary structure includes four short double-helical elements and three loops (D, anti-codon, and T loops). Further hydrogen bonds mediate the characteristic L-shaped molecular structure. tRNAs have two regions of fundamental functional importance: the anti-codon, which is responsible for specific mRNA codon recognition, and the 3' end, to which the tRNAs corresponding amino acid is attached (by aminoacyl-tRNA synthetases). tRNAs cope with the degeneracy of the genetic code in two manners: having more than one tRNA (with a specific anti-codon) for a particular amino acid; and 'wobble' base-pairing, i.e. permitting non-standard base-pairing at the 3rd anti-codon position. Lineage: Bacteria; Pseudomonadati; Thermodesulfobacteriota; Desulfuromonadia; Geobacterales; Geobacteraceae. The record is from RNAcentral.